AAUGAACGUUUGCGGCGUGCCUGAUGCAUGCAAGUCGUACGCUUCAAUGAUUCGCAAGGAUUUUUGGGGAGUGGCGGACGGCUGAGUAACACGUAAGUUACCUACCUCUAAGUGGGGGAUAACUUGCCGAAAGGCAAGCUAAUACCGCAUGUGAAGUAUUUUUAAAGCCUUCGGGCGCUUGGAGAUGGGCUUGCGUCUGAUUAGCUAGUUGGUAGGGUAAUGGCCUACCAAGGCGAUGAUCAGUAGCUGGUCUGAGAGGACGACCAGCCAGACAGGGACUGCGACACGGCCCUGACUCCUACGGGAGGCAG
Molecule: ribosomal RNA, 311 nt
Filed under: uncultured Chloroflexota bacterium
Lineage: Bacteria; Bacillati; Chloroflexota
Description: bacterial SSU rRNA
Rfam family: Bacterial small subunit ribosomal RNA
Source: RNAcentral